RNAcentral lists this ribosomal RNA (467 nucleotides) under uncultured bacterium. RNAcentral describes it as "partial 16S ribosomal RNA". It matches the Rfam family "Bacterial small subunit ribosomal RNA", at positions 29 to 507 of the family's 1533-position model. The record is from RNAcentral.
ACGAACGCUGGCGGCGUGCUUCACACAUGCCAGUCGAACGGAAAGGCCCUGCUUUUGUGGGGUGCUCGCGUGGCGAACGGGUGAGUAACACGUGAGUAACCUGCCCUUGACUUUGGGAUAACUUCAGGAAACUGGGGCUAAUACCGGAUAGGAGCUCCUGCUGCAUGGUGGGGGUUGGAAAGUUUCGGCGGUUGGGGAUGGACUCGCGGCUUAUCAGCUUGUUGGUGGGGUAGUGGCUUACCAAGGCUUUGACGGGUAGCCGGCCUGAGAGGGUGACCGGCCACAUUGGGACUGAGAUACGGCCCAGACUCCUACGGGAGGCAGCAGUGGGGAAUAUUGCACAAUGGGCGGAAGCCUGAUGCAGCAACGCCGCGUGCGGGAUGACGGCCUUCGGGUUGUAAACCGCUUUCGCCUGUGACGAAGCGUGAGUGACGGUAAUGGGUAAAGAAGCACCGGCUAACUACGUG